RNAcentral lists this ribosomal RNA (433 nucleotides) under uncultured Coriobacteriaceae bacterium. RNAcentral's name for it is "partial 16S ribosomal RNA". It matches the Rfam family "Bacterial small subunit ribosomal RNA", at positions 341 to 792 of the family's 1533-position model. The record is from RNAcentral. Lineage: Bacteria; Bacillati; Actinomycetota; Coriobacteriia; Coriobacteriales; Coriobacteriaceae.
ACGGAAGGCAGCAGUGGGGAAUUUUGCGCAAUGGGGGGAACCCUGACGCAGCAACGCCGCGUGCGGGAUGAAGGCCUUCGGGUUGUAAACCGCUUUCAGCAGGGACGAUUAUGACGGUACCUGCAGAAGAAGCUCCGGCUAACUACGUGCCAGCAGCCGCGGUAAUACGUAGGGAGCGAGCGUUAUCCGGAUUCAUUGGGCGUAAAGCGCGCGUAGGCGGCUUGCUAAGCGGAACCUCUAAUCCGAGGGCUCAACCCCCGGCCGGGUUCCGAACUGGCAGGCUCGAGUGCGGUAGGGGCAAGUGGAAUUCCAUGUGUAGCGGUGGAAUGCGAAGAUAUAUGGAAGAACACCGAUGGCGAAGGCAGCUUGCUGGGCCGACACUGACGCUGAGGUGCGAAAGCGUGGGGAGCGAACAGGAUUAGAUACCCUGGUA